ACAUGUAAUAUGUAGUAAUACUGUGCACUUGAUGAAAUACAUUGUAGCUGCAAGCAGCGAUUAUGGGGCCGAACACACCAUCGGCACACCAACUGUAUGUUGAGAAGAUUUAUUUGGUAAUAACACUCUCAUGGGUGAUUUCAGGAAUAGAAUUUAAAUGGCUAUGAAUAGAUUAAAAAUUCUUAACAGAUUUACAACUUUUAACUUUUAACCAAUAGGUGGCACUGCAUCCAAAUUUACAUCAUAUCAGGCAAUGUGGCAAUAGCUAUAUUUCCAUCCAAAUUGUGAAUUUAUUAAUGUAUGCAAAAGAUCGGACUCUCUCAAAAACAAUUUGCGAAUAAAACAGUUUAAAGAGGACAAACUCGUCACUCACACAAUGGCGUGAAAUGAAGAUGGAAGGUGAAGCCACUGUGCCACUUUAAUUGAAGUUUUUUUUUUGAAGGUUCUCUGAUUGGUGGAUCUUUCACUGCUGUACCACGAGUACUAGCCCAGAUAGCAAAAAAAUAUCCGCACGGCUUCUUUUUGCCGCCGUCCCUAAGCUGUCGGCUAUAGGUGCGUCCCACUGGCGGGGAUGAAACGUUUGCCGCCGAAUUCGUCACUCUCAUUUCUUGCGAUAUGCUGCCCGCGAAAAGCUGGCGGGCCGCUCGCUUCAUUUUCUCUGGCGGUUGCCUCGGGCUGAUCGACCGCGGGCGGCUGGCGGCAAGCCGCUUUGAAAUACAAGGAUUUCUACUCUCAAAAUCGACCAGCCAUGUUGGCUAUUUUUUGCUCCAAAGCCAUUAGGGUUUAUAACAGAGUCUUGACUCUUGAUUCCAUGAUAAGGUAAGGUUUAGGAAAUGACAUUUAAAUUACUUUGAAACUCUGAAGCGAUUAUACAGUAAUAUAUGUAAAAUAUAUUGAAUUAUUUUAUGCACUUGAAAAUUGUUUACAUUUCUUUGAUUGAUGCACAUUUGACAUGCACCAAUAAACCAAAAAGAAUUCCUUUUGUAAAACUGACUUGGCAAUAAAUAUCUUUAUGAUUCUGAUUCGGUUUUAAAAUAGAUAUUUAAUUCAUGGUAUGAACAAUUUAGCAGAAUAAAUUGAUGAAGUUAGACUUUUCACGAAUGCCUGACUAUCAGUGAACAGUGAAAGACAUCUGCAACAUGGCCAAAAUCUCAGGUAUACUUUAAUUUUUUUUAUUAAUUUGCAACCAUGGUGAUAUCUGUCAUAAACAUGAAAAUCCCUGUUUUGACGUGAAGGAUAAACUCAAUGAAAUAGCGAAAUUAUCCUCUGGUUUCACAGUUGCGCAGAAAUUUCGUUUAUGUCUACAUUUUUUCCAACCUCGAUUUUUUUUUUUUUUUUUGUUAUUUUACCUUUUACAGGUUUAGCAAUUAUGACCUAUACAAAUGUUUAAGAAAGUGUUAAAGUCCCUGUAAAGGCAAUACAAAAAAAUCUAAACGCAUUAUAAAUGUUAAAAACGUAUUGCUAAAACACAUUACAAAGACUGAACUGUGAAGUUCCGCUGUCGCCAUAUUUGUUUCCGGUUUACUUGCGCGUCGCCCAAAAUGUCUGUUUUUACUCGAUGUCUCCAGAAUCUUCCGAAAAUACGCGUCAGCGAUGUUCAUCGCAUUGUUGAUGCCUGGUCCCCUGCUCCGACAAGCAAGAGGGACAAGGGCUUUAAACUCUACAUAUCGAGUUAUCUGCACAACUACAAGGGUAAGUAUUUUAAUCUAAUGUGGUGUGCCGGCAGAUAGCGGCUAAGCUAGUUUGCCACGUGUUCAUUUUUUAUGUAAGGUUAGUAUAGAAGCUUGUUUUUUCUUAGUUUUAAAGCAGACUGUUUGUUAAUUUUUGUGAUAAUUGUAAUAUAAAUUAUAUUAACUUGCUCUCCUCUCAGUUUCUAAUAAAGAUCAGGGCACAGGUGAAGUUACUGUCAGGGCAUUGUGCUACAGUUCCACGAGGAAAACAGAUAAACCUCACAGUUUGAGUGUAUGGUGAAGCUAGAAUUGAUAAGACCGCAGUUACAGGCUUGUUACUUUAAUAGCCCGAUGUUCCUGGGGACUCGACUAAGGUUAUUCAUGUUUAAUGUAACUCAAAUCAAAUGAAAACAGUUAUUGUAGGCAGGUAAGUUUCCCUAACUGGUCCCCUCUGUGUAAAAUGCGUAUACCAAUAUUUCAUUAUUUUCUUUUUCCUCCCCUUUUACAAACAAAUAUUCUGCUUCAAAGAAAAAAAAUGAAAUUGAUGUUAUCAUAAGGGUUCUUCAUUAUGAACUUGUAUGCCAUGCAUAACAUACUGUGGAUAGAAAUUACAGGGAAAGUUACUGGUAUGAUAAUUGUGGUUAUAUUAUAUUAGUAUUAUAUUUAGUGUAUUGCUAAUCAAUAUAUUGUUACUUCCCAGGUGACAGCGGCUCACUUCAAGAGCAGGUGAAGCAAGUUGGGACAAUGUUGAAGACAUUUGCUCGCACUGGGCAAUCGGGUACAACUUGCAAACAACACCUGUGGUUGUUGGUUUAAUUCCCACUGGGGCCACCUGUACAUGUAGUAGACCUAGAUAUAAAUGUCAUAGUUUAGUAGUUGAAGGACCAGGACUGACUACUUUAUUCUUUUAUUCUGGGAACCCCUGUAGGUGCAGAUCAAAUCCUAAUGCUGCGACGUCUUGGAGUUUGGCGAUGUUGUGCGUAGCAUGGACAACAAAAUGCUAUGCUGCAACAUUUCAGUGCCAAUGUGUCUGUUGGAGAGUUAUCCCUGCCAGGGGAUCUGUUACUCCCCCCUAGACACCCAGGAAGAUUUGGCGUUGCUUGACAACAGUUUGAGGCAGGAUAAAGAGCUCCUGCAAUGAUUUCUUCGGUUUUUUUGGCAAUCAAAUGUGGGAGGGACCUAAAGACAACCGUGUGUGAAUGCUUCAGAGUAUCUUCUCUAAUCACCUUUCCAUCAAUACAACCUGGACUGGUGUAGGGGAUAAAGCAUGUUUUAGAGACAUGUUCCUGAAGACCAUUGUUCAAAGAGCCAUCCGGAAGAACCCGGCAACCCAGGAUGCCACUGAUGAGGCGAUCCAGGUUAACGUUACGCGUUACCUGAAAGGAGCAUCUGAACAUGAAGGUGGAAAAAGGCGCCGCACAGCAGAGAGGGACCCACAGCCGACCCCUUAAACCUAGGCUGACUACUGACACCCCAGCAUCACUGACAACUGGAACCCUUUCUUUAUCCUGCAGUCAGUAACAUCAAGACCCCUAAAAAAGCCUGCUAAAAGUGUCAGACUACACUCACCCAAUCCACACUGUUCACUGUGGAAAUUGCUUUUUUUUUUUCUCUCUCGUGACCCUGUUUUGUGGGCAGCUCCUUGGAUGAAUAUGGGAUGGUUUGUCCUUUUAUACAGGCGCACGAGGAAUCACUGAAGAUAUGCCAAUUUGCACUGCCUCGUUCUGGAGGUCGGGGAAAUCCGGUGAUUCUUAGCCCACUACGCCACGCAGACCCCAACCACUCCAGACAUUCUGAUUGGCUGUGUUCUCUACAGCCAGAUUUUCUGCUGUUAAUUAUAUUUAUUCCCACUUGUUGUCAUGUGUAAGUUGAAUGUCAAAAUGUAUAUUAUACCUGUUAUCCUGCACAUUCCUUGAUACCAAAGAUCUCAAUUAUUUCAUAUACAAUUUGCUGCUUAUUUCAUUGUUACAGUGCUUAACUAUUCUAUUUUUAAAUAUAGCUUGUAAAUCCUAGAUUAUACAUCUAAUACUUGAUAUCUGCACAUUAUCUGGUAUCAAAUAUUCUACUUACCGUGACUUUAGUAUUGGCUUAUUUCAUUCCGUCAGUGCUUAACGAUUCUAUUAUAGUUUGUAAAUCCUAUUUCAUGCCUGAUAUUUGAUAUUGCACAUUAACUAGUACCAAAAAUUCUACUUUCAUUCCGUCACAGUGCUUAACUGUUAUUCUAUUGUUAAAUAUAGCUUGUAAAUCCUUGUGCCACAGGUCAGCAUUGCAGUUAUAAUGGUAUAUUCUACUCCAGAGCUUUACUCUAAAUUAUUACCACUUAACCUAUUGUUAGAAAUGACUUGUAAAUAUGAUGUUAUACCUCAAUUUAUUUGGUAUCCUGCACUUUAUUUGGUACCAAAUAUCCUCAUUGCUUAUGUUUACUGGUAAUUCUUUUCAUCCCAGAGCUGACCUCUUUAUAUUAUUAACAAUUAUUGUAAGUGUUACAAUAGUGUUUUUAAAAAAAAAUUUCUUUUUUUUACCAAAAUUGAAUUGGAAACCUGCAUGUUCUUUAGUGUGUGUGUGUGUGUGUGUGUGUGUGUGUGUGUAUAUAAUGUUUGUAUUUUUCUGUUAUUUAUAUUUCAGUGAUCUGACAUCUUGUUUCAAUGACAGUUACUGUACUUUGAAAUGUGGAAUUAAAACGCCAAAUGGAAAUUUGUCUGGUUUGAUCAAUCAUUAUUCUUGAUAAACUGCAUGCUAUAAAUAUAUAUAUAUAUAUAUAUAAUAAGCGGCCGCAGAUCGCUCGAAAAAAGCGCUUGCCUCCGACGGUCCGCCUUCGAUAUAACGGCGGCGGAACGGCGGAUAGCCAGCGGGCCGGCCGCGGAACGAAGGCGGUAGGAAGGCGGCUGCCGCUUUUAAAAAGUGGCUGCCGUCAAACGUGUUUGCGAUAUCGCCAUUCUGCCGCUUCUACUGCCGCUGGAGCACCGCCAGCGCGCCGACUUAUUGCUAUCUGGGAGUGUUGUAAUCAAGUCUCUAGAUCGUCAUUAAUAUCGUGACUCGAAUCAGACUCGAGUUCGAGUCCAGGACUCAAGUACUACAACAAUGACGGGUACUGUAGUAGUUGUUCACCUGGAAUCCCUCUAUUGAACGCGAUUUUUAAACAAUGAAGUUGAAAUAACGCAGACGUAUGGCUUCAACAAGCGUAUCCCAAGGAUUAACAACCUCGGAGCUCACGGUAGGUCUGUCUUUAAAGGUUUAUAAGUUAAUGUUAAAAAUCAAUCCAUCUAUGGAAAAAUGUAUGGGAUUUUUACUUCCGGAACCCGACUGUUGCGCUCUAUAAUUCCAAAACACAUUUUAUGAAUUUUGUAUGAAAAGGUGGCACAGUCACCAAACUGCUCUUGUACGUUCAGAACAUGGUAACAAUGAUACUCAACCAGUUUCAUGGCAAUAUGUUGAAGCAUUGUGAGUACACGGCCUAACUUCGUCUCUGGUGUCCUUGAUGUCAAAUUCAUUGAUGUGAUACACAUGAACAGUUUGGUCUAUCCAAAAGCUUUUAAUAAUUUUCAUUGCCAUUGUCAAAAAUUCACCAAAAUUGGUGAAGAUAGGAUGAAACAUGUAGGAUGAGUUUGAAAAAGUAUGUUUUCUCGCAUACUCAAACCUCACUGAAUUGGUUAAUUUUAGUCUUGGCCCCUAAAUAUUGAGUUGAAUGUGCAGUAAUA
Xyrauchen texanus (razorback sucker) is the source of this 5368-nucleotide long non-coding RNA. RefSeq lists it as uncharacterized. Lineage: Eukaryota; Metazoa; Chordata; Actinopteri; Cypriniformes; Catostomidae. The transcript has 3 exons. The record is from RefSeq and is a predicted model, not a curated record.